GACGAACGCUGGCGGCGUGCUUAACACAUGCAAGUCGAACGGAAAGGCCCUGCUUUUAUGGGGUGCUCGAGUGGCGAACGGGUGAGUAACACGUGAGUAACCUGCCCUUGACUUUGGGAUAACUUCAGGAAACUGGGGCUAAUACCGGAUAGGAGCUCCUGCUGCAUGGUGGGGGUUGGAAAGUUUCGGCGGUUGGGGAUGGACUCGCGGCUUAUCAGCUUGUUGGUGGGGUAGUGGCUUACCAAGGCUUUGACGGGUAGCCGGCCUGAGAGGGUGACCGGCGACAUUGGGACUGAGAUACGGCCCAGACUCCUACGGGAGGCAGCAGUGGGGAAUAUUGCACAAUGGGCGGAAGCCUGAUGCAGCAACGCCGCGUGCGGGAUGACGGCCUUCGGGUUGUAAACCGCUUUCGCCUGUGACGAAGCGUGAGUGACGGUAAUGGGUAAAGAAGCACCGGCUAACUACGUG
RNAcentral lists this ribosomal RNA (468 nucleotides) under uncultured bacterium. RNAcentral describes it as "partial 16S ribosomal RNA". It matches the Rfam family "Bacterial small subunit ribosomal RNA", at positions 28 to 507 of the family's 1533-position model. The record is from RNAcentral.